This 873-nucleotide ribosomal RNA is filed under the name uncultured bacterium. RNAcentral describes it as "bacterial SSU rRNA". It matches the Rfam family "Bacterial small subunit ribosomal RNA", at positions 621 to 1505 of the family's 1533-position model. The record is from RNAcentral.
CUGCCAUCAAAACUUUUCAGCUAGAGUAUGAUAGAGGAAAGCAGAAUUUCUAGUGUAGAGGUGAAAUUCGUAGAUAUUAGAAAGAAUACCAAUUGCGAAGGCAGCUUUCUGGAUCAUUACUGACACUGAGGAACGAAAGCAUGGGUAGCGAAGAGGAUUAGAUACCCUCGUAGUCCAUGCCGUAAACGAUGUGUGUUAGACGUUGGAAAUUUAUUUUCAGUGUCGCAGCGAAAGCGAUAAACACACCGCCUGGGGAGUACGACCGCAAGGUUAAAACUCAAAUGAAUUGACGGGGACCCGCACAAGUAGUGGAGCAUGUGGUUUAAUUCGAAGAUACGCGCAGAACCUUACCAACACUUGACAUGUUCGUCGCGACUCUAAGAGAUUAGAGUUUUCGGUUCGGCCGGACGAAACACAGGUGCUGCAUGGCUGUCGUCAGCUCGUGUCGUGAGAUGUUGGGUUAAGUCCCGCAACGAGCGCAACCCUCACUUUUAGUUGCCAUCAUUUAGUUGGGCACUCUGAAAGAACUGCCAGUGAUAAGCUGGAGGAAGGUGGGGAUGACGUCAAGUCCUCAUGGCCCUUACGUGUUGGGCUACACACGUGCUACAAUGGCAUCUACAACAGGAAGCAAAACGGCAACGUUAAGCAAAUCCCGAAAAGAUGCCUCAGUUCGGAUUGCACUCUGCAACUCGAGUGCAUGAAGCUGGAAUUACUAGUAAUCGUGGAUCAGCGUGCCACGGUGAAUGCGUUCCCGGGUCUUGUACACACCGCCCGUCACACCAUGGGAGUUGGUUCUACCUUAAGGCAAGGUUUUAAACCCUUGACCACGGUAUAGUCAGCGACUGGGGUGAAGUCGUAACAAGGUAACCAAGG